RNAcentral lists this ribosomal RNA (505 nucleotides) under uncultured bacterium. RNAcentral's name for it is "partial 16S ribosomal RNA". It matches the Rfam family "Bacterial small subunit ribosomal RNA", at positions 28 to 507 of the family's 1533-position model. The record is from RNAcentral.
GACGAACGCUGGCGGCGUGCCUAAUACAUGCAAGUAGAACGCACAGUUUAUACCGUAGCUUGCUACACCAUAGACUGUGAGUUGCGAACGGGUGAGUAACGCGUAGCUAACCUGCCUGGUAGCGGGGGAUAACUAUUGGAAACGAUAGCUAAUACCGCAUAAUAUUGAUUAUUGCAUGAUAAUUGAUUGAAAGAUGCUAUUGCAUCACUACCAGAUGGACCUGCGUUGUAUUAGCUAGUAGGUGAGGUAACGGCUCACCUAGGCGACGAUACAUAGCCGACCUGAGAGGGUGAUCGGCCACACUGGGACUGAGACACGGCCCAGACUCCUACGGGAGGCAGCAGUAGGGAAUCUUCGGCAAGGGACGAAAGUCUGACCGAGCAACGCCGCGUGAGUGAAGAAGGUUUUCGGAUCGUAAAGCUCUGUUGUAAGAGAAGAACGGGUGUGAGAGUGGAAAGUUCACACUGUGACGGUAUCUUACCAGAAAGGGACGGCUAACUACGUG